CCUACGGGGGGCAGCAGUGGGGAAUAUUGGACAAUGGGCGAAAGCCUGAUCCAGCCAUGCCGCGUGUGUGAAGAAGGCCUUCGGGUUGUAAAGCACUUUCAGUGGGGAAGAAAGCCUUGGGGCUAAUACCCUCGAGGAAGGACAUCACCCACAGAAGAAGCACCGGCUAACUCCGUGCCAGCAGCCGCGGUAAUACGGAGGGUGCGAGCGUUAAUCGGAAUUACUGGGCGUAAAGCGCGCGUAGGCGGUCUGAUAAGCCGGUUGUGAAAGCCCCGGGCUCAACCUGGGAACGGCAUCCGGAACUGGCAGGCUAGAGUGCAGGAGAGGAAGGUAGAAUUCCCGGUGUAGCGGUGAAAUGCGUAGAGAUCGGGAGGAAUACCAGUGGCGAAGGCGGCCUUCUGGACUGACACUGACGCUGAGGUGCGAAAGCGUGGGUAGCAAACAGGAUUAGAUACCCGGGUAGUC
This 465-nucleotide ribosomal RNA is filed under the name Vreelandella stevensii. Its description in RNAcentral is "partial 16S ribosomal RNA". It matches the Rfam family "Bacterial small subunit ribosomal RNA", at positions 338 to 795 of the family's 1533-position model. The record is from RNAcentral. Lineage: Bacteria; Pseudomonadati; Pseudomonadota; Gammaproteobacteria; Oceanospirillales; Halomonadaceae.